RNAcentral lists this ribosomal RNA (1449 nucleotides) under Triticum aestivum (bread wheat). Its description in RNAcentral is "partial small subunit ribosomal RNA". Lineage: Eukaryota; Viridiplantae; Streptophyta; Magnoliopsida; Poales; Poaceae. The record is from RNAcentral.
AUGGUGCCUAAUAUUCAAAACCAGCAUGUUUCAUUCCGGGGACAACAACAUUUCAGAACUGAAUUAGAUCCUCCAUAUAGAAAGAUUGAUCUUACUUCAAUUAUCCUUGAUGAUGAUUAUGAUAUUUUUCAAGAUGAUGAAACUACUAUAGAUCAGAUGGAAACCAGAGUAGCAGAUCCAAUACCUCAUGGCAAUGAAACUGUCCAGAAUGAGUCAAAGUUGCAAGAAGAUGUUUAUGAGGAACCUACUCUGAUUGAUGCUAAGUUGAGACAACAAGAUAUGGAGAAAUUCACUUGUGUUAGUCAACUAUGUGACUGGUGGAAUUUAGUCGUGUCACCAAUUGCCCACACUUGUGUUACAACGGUAUCUUGGCAAUUUGUCAAGAAGAAAUCAGUAGCUCCACCGGUGGUUGCCUCUAUCACAGUUAAAGAGAGUAUCUUAGAGAAGAAUAGUGAAGAUGAGAUUCCAACUCCUGCACAUACAACUAAGCAAGUCGGAGACAUUCCAAGGAGAGAGAUACAAGAGGCUGAGUCAAAUUUAGAAGAGUUGAUACUUCAAUAUCCUAAGAAGAUCCCACGUGUUGCUGAGCUGCAUGACUGGUGGAAGUCAUCAGUGUCACUAUUGAAACUUAGCAGUGAUGGUGAUGAGGAGAACAUUGCUCAAAAAGACAGCAAGGUAGUGAUCUCAGCACCCCUACCAGAUCAUGUUAGUGAAUAUUCACAGAUGGGGACACUUCAGACUCAAUUAAGUGUUGCUGGUAGUAGCACCAUGGUAGAUCCAGAGGAAGAGAGUCCUCAACUUGAAGAAGAUUUACAAGAAGGCAAGGAACAAGAUGAUCAAGAGCUGCAAUUUCCAAGUGAUCAAGUUGAAGACUCAUCAUCUACUACUCCUGAAGAAGUACAAGAAGCUGAUGUAGAUGAAGAUGAAGAACCCAAGAUUCAUUGGCCUAUUGUCAUACAUGAGCGUGAUGUGUCAGGUUUACCCAAUCCUCUUGAUGACAUGCUCCCUUGUGAUUUCUUUGCUUCUAACUUGCAUUGCAUGAUGCCAUCACUUAAGGUAGAUUUGAAAAACUAUUUGCUUGGACAUGAUCAUACACACCCUGUUAGUGGCAUUACUCUCAUUUGUGAUGAUCACAGUUACUUUCCUCGUGCUAGUUCUAUGCUUAAUGAAACAUAUCAUUCCCAUGCUAGUCUUGAGCUUAAUGAUAAAUAUCAUCCUCAUGUUAGCAUUGAGCUUACUGAUUUGUACCAUCCUAAACAUGUGCUUUAUAGCUAUGCUUAUGUAAUUGGUUAUUCGAUUGAUGACUUGGAGGGUAUUAUCCCUACCACUUGCAUUGUCUCUUUCGUUAAGUGCUCUUUCAGGUUCUUGCUUGUGCACGGUCCAUUACAUGUUGACCAGGUUCGAGGUGACAUUCCUUGGGACCCUGGUGGACUCAGAGCAUGGGGAUGA